AUUUUAAAUACUUUAAUCCUGCCAGCUGUUUACCUGCAGGGGCUAGAGAGAUUUACAUUUUGCCUCAGUGCAUAAUUUAGUUUUUGGGGAAUGAGGGUAGGCAAGGUUCCUUUCUUUUGAAGCGUCAGACAAUGGCUGCAGAAUGUGAGGGUAUUUUGGGGCAGAAUUUAUGGCUUUUUUUUUUUUUUGAUAUUGCAGAAAAACCUUUCUUGGCCCUCCUCAAUGGUUUAGGAAGAUCCUGACUGUCAGGGUGUAUCAAGUUAAGUGCAACAUGAAGAAUGAGGCAAUAUGAAGAAAAAUCAUACGUACAGAGACAGCAAAGGUCAUUCAAGUGCACAGAUGUGGGAUGUUCAGCAUACUGGCCAAAAAGAAAUUCCAAACUCCAGAAAACGUAGCACCAGGAUGGAAUACAUAUAACCACAUCACUAGAAGAAUGACUGUGAGUCUUUAAGGCAGUGCCUAUGGAAAAGAAUAAAAGGCCCAACAGGCGCCGAGAUCUGGUCAGAAAAAAAUUGCUAGGAAGAGAAAAAUGGAUCACGAUCCUAGAAAGAGACCCUGAGCACGUAUGAAAGACCAUAUGGUAAUGAUCAAAGUUGAGGAAAAACAAAAAGCUGCCUUCCACCUGCAAAACAGAAUUGUCUGAAGAUAGUGAAAUGGGAAUGCUUUGAAGAUAAGCCAUCAUGCACUGUGGGAAAAGGAGGCAAGAAGUGAAACCUGGUUUUGAGACAAUUUCCUAAGGUGCACUCUGUGAUUGGUGAGCGGGGGAGCCAGGUGCUGAUUAUUUUCUACUCUGUUCUAACAUGUAAAAGUCAGCAGAAGUGCUAAUUGCAUUUGUUACCUGCUUUUCCUCAUAACCUUCCUUCCUGUGGAUAGAAAGCAGACAGAGGAGAAACUGAACAUGAUCCCAGCUCUUUCUUUGGAAAAAAGUACUUCAGGUAGUCACUCAUCCCCCCUUCAGGAUUCCUUUAUUGCCUUCAGUGGUCUUCUCCUGGUGCGCUUCAAGAAGAUAAAGGCUUAAGUUCAAACAUGGGCUCUGCAGUUUCUCCCUCCUAUGUUUCUCGAUCAGUCUGAAAUCUGAAGGCAGGCACUGAUGGAAAUUGAGGAUGCUAUUUUUGAGGUCACAGCAAGAGAACAGAUCUAACUCUCAGGGAAGGCACAAACACACAGCAUGUAGUAUUGAUGUACCUCGUGACGUGCCACGAGUGUGUACAGCUCACAGGUGUAUCAGCAGUACUGCACAGAGGCCCCACCUGAAGAAAAAUCUCCACACAGUUUGACAGGAGCAGCACCCCAGGUAACGCACACCACCAAACAGAUGCUACUCACAUCAGUUCUGGUAGCCAGAAAACUCUUUAGCUGACAAAUUCCAAAACUUUGUGUGUGGAAUGAUGCUUUGUUUAUUUUGAAUCUGCAUUCUCAAUACCUUGUUGCUCUGCUUCUGUAAGAAAACAGUAAAUAACAACGGACUAUUCUCUGUAUGACUGAUGGAGUCUGCUACCAUACUCAUCCUCAGUUCUCUCCCACAGACUGAAGAGCUAAUUCCACUCUACAGACUUGCUCCGUAUGAAAGAUACUCCUACUUGGAAGAAUGCUGUUGCCUCUCUAUACUGAAGGGGCU
Molecule: long non-coding RNA, 1618 nt
Organism: Gallus gallus (chicken)
Lineage: Eukaryota; Metazoa; Chordata; Aves; Galliformes; Phasianidae
Source: Ensembl